AUAUGUGUUGCAGGGAGCCGAAAACAAUGGCUGAGAGGGAAUUUGACAUUCCGACCUUUUGACCUGAUCUGGGUAAUGCCAGCGUAGGGAACUAGCGUACAUGACUGU
Molecule: non-coding RNA, 108 nt
Filed under: Peptoclostridium acidaminophilum
Lineage: Bacteria; Bacillati; Bacillota; Clostridia; Peptostreptococcales; Peptoclostridiaceae
Also listed under: 1 other name
Description: TPP sequence
Rfam family: TPP riboswitch aptamer (THI element)
About the family: Vitamin B(1) in its active form thiamin pyrophosphate (TPP) is an essential coenzyme that is synthesised by coupling of pyrimidine and thiazole moieties in bacteria.
Source: RNAcentral